AGAAUCAACGCUGGCGGCGUGCCUAACACAUGCAAGUCGCACGAGAAAGGGACUUCGGUCCUGAGUACAGUGGCGCACGGGUGAGUAACACGUGAAUCAUCUACCUUCGAGUGUGGAAUAACUGAGAGAAAUCUUAGCUAAUACCUCAUAAUACCUACGGGUCAAAGCAGCAAUGCGCUUGAAGAGGAGUUCGCGGCAGAUUAGUUAGUUGGCGGGGUAAUGGCCCACCAAGACGAUGAUCUGUAUCCGGCCUGAGAGGGCGCACGGACACACUGGAACUGAAACACGGUCCAGACUCCUACGGGAGGCAGCAGUGGGGAAUUUUGCGCAAUGGGGGAAACCCUGACGCAGCAACGCCGCGUGGAGGAUGAAAUAUCUUGGUAUGUAAACUCCUUUCGAUGGGGAAGAUAAUGACGGUACCCAUAGAAGAAGCCCGGCUAACUUCGCGCCAGCAGCCGCGGUAA
RNAcentral lists this ribosomal RNA (464 nucleotides) under uncultured bacterium. RNAcentral describes it as "SSU rRNA". It matches the Rfam family "Bacterial small subunit ribosomal RNA", at positions 26 to 523 of the family's 1533-position model. The record is from RNAcentral.